This 1438-nucleotide ribosomal RNA is filed under the name uncultured bacterium. Its description in RNAcentral is "bacterial SSU rRNA". It matches the Rfam family "Bacterial small subunit ribosomal RNA". The record is from RNAcentral.
UAGAGUUUGAUCCUGGCUCAGAACGUACGCUGGCGGCACGCCUAACACAUGCAAGUCGAACGAAGUAGCAAUACUUAGUGGCAGACGGGUGAGUAACAUGUGGGUAUCUGCCCUUUGGCCUGGAAUAACACGAGGAAACUUGUGCUAAUACCGGAUAAGUCUUUACGGAGAAAGCUUUAUGCACCAUUGGAUGAGCCUGCACUUGAUUAGUUUGUUGGUGGGGUAAUGGCCUACCAAGACUGUGAUCAAUAGCUGAUUUGAGAGGAUGAUCAGCCACAUUGGGACUGAGACACGGCCCAAACUCCUACGGGAGGCAGCAGUGGGGAAUCUUGCACAAUGGAGGAAACUCUGAUGCAGCGAUGCCGCGUGAGUGAAGAAGGCCUUUGGGUUGUAAAGCUCUUUCGUCGGGGAAGAAAAUGACUGUACCCGAAUAAGAAGGUCCGGCUAACUUCGUGCCAGCAGCCGCGGUAAUACGAAGGGACCUAGCGUAGUUCGGAAUUACUGGGCUUAAAGAGUUCGUAGGUGGUUGAAAAAGUUGGUGGUGAAAUCCCAGAGCUUAACUCUGGAACUGCCAUCAAAACUUUUCAGCUAGAGUAUGAUAGAGGAAAGCAGAAUUUCUAGUGUAGAGGUGAAAUUCGUAGAUAUUAGAAAGAAUACCAAUUGCGAAGGCAGCUUUCUGGAUCAUUACUGACACUGAGGAACGAAAGCAUGGGUAGCGAAGAGGAUUAGAUACCCUCGUAGUCCAUGCCGUAAACGAUGUGUGUUAGACGUUGGAAAUUUAUUUUCAGUGUCGCAGCGAAAGCGAUAAACACACCGCCUGGGGAGUACGACCGCAAGGUUAAAACUCAAAUGAAUUGACGGGGACCCGCACAAGUAGUGGAGCAUGUGGUUUAAUUCGAAGAUACGCGCAGAACCUUACCAACACUUGACAUGUUCGUCGCGACUUUAAGAGAUUAAAGUUUUCGGUUCGGCCGGACGAAACACAGGUGCUGCAUGGCUGUCGUCAGCUCGUGUCGUGAGAUGUUGGGUUAAGUCCCGCAACGAGCGCAACCCUCACUUUUAGUUGCCAUCAUUUAGUUGGGCACUCUGAAAGAACUGCCAGUGAUAAGCUGGAGGAAGGUGGGGAUGACGUCAAGUCCUCAUGGCCCUUACGUGUUGGGCUACACACGUGCUACAAUGGUAUCUACAACAGGAAGCAAAACUGCGAGGUUAAGCAAAUCCUUAAAAGAUACCUCAGUUCGGAUUGCACUCUGCAACUCGAGUGCAUGAAGCUGGAAUUACUAGUAAUCGUGGAUCAGCGUGCCACGGUGAAUGCGUUCCCGGGUCUUGUACACACCGCCCGUCACACCAUGGGAGUUGGUUCUACCUUAAGGCAAGGUUUAAAACCCUUGACCACGGUAUAGUCAGCGACUGGGGUGAAGUCGUAACAAGGUAACCA